RNAcentral lists this long non-coding RNA (9745 nucleotides) under Cucumis sativus (cucumber). Its description in RNAcentral is "long non-coding RNA (CSAT_LNC001044)". Lineage: Eukaryota; Viridiplantae; Streptophyta; Magnoliopsida; Cucurbitales; Cucurbitaceae. The record is from RNAcentral.
AAAGAAGUGAGAACUGGAGUGCAAGAAUUAAAGCAUUUUCUUCUCUUUGACUAAGGUAUCUCUGCAGAUUUGAUUCAACAAGUGAAGAAGAGAGGAAGAAGAAAUACCAUGGAAUUAUAGAGGUUUGGCUUUCCAAGCCAACAUCCACUUUUAAAGACAAUAAGAGGAAUUUAUUCAACAAGAUUUAAGAGGAACAACCAUUCAAGAAUGGACUCUCUCAAAGGAAGAUGAUUUAGCUAAGCUUCUUUUCCAUGCUUUUCUUUCUGUCAACUAUCUGUUAGUUAUGACUAUCAACUGCUUUCUGUUUUGCUUGCUGCUGUUCAUCAGAGAGAGCUUAGAGCUUGAAAACUCAUCAGGUAAUUUGCUUCAACUUUAUAACAAUAUAUAUAGGUAAUAUCUAACCGUAGAAUUUUAUUUUAAAAGAAGCAUGUACAAACUUGACAAGUAAAACGUAUCAAGUAUUGAAUUGUAUGUAAUAGGUAAAAAUUGUCGAGGUUGAAAUAAUCUUGAUUGAUCAUAAAUUUUAAGAAUUUAGAUACUUGAAAUGUAAAACUAGUCAAUUGAUCUUCAUAUACUUGACAUUUAGGACAUAUUAAGUAAAUUAGUAAUUGUCGAAGGCUUUACUAACUUUUUCAAAGGUCACGCGUACCUUCGAUAACAUUUAAAUUAUUCAUCAAAAAAUGUUUAUUAUCAAAUGAUUUUUUUCGAAGGUUUUCAUAAAAUAACUUUUUCAACAAAUGUAUAAAUCUUUUGAAAAUUCUCGCUAAUGAUGAAACAUUGAAUUACAACGUAUGAGACUGACAAUCUACGACAUCAAAAUUACAAUUUCAAAAUGUUGUUAUGUAGAGGCAGAAUCCAAGACUAUCUAACCAACCAUUGAUCAAGAGUUUGAGUAGUACUUUUCAGUGCUUUUGGCAUCCCCUGAUCCUUGAUGUUUAGCAUCUUGAAUUUGAAUGUGUGCGUGUAUGUGUUCUUAGAGGUAAAACAGUUGUAACAUAUAAGCAAUUAUAUGAAAAAUCAACAAUUUCAUUCCCUGGUUGAUUACUCAACAGCCAUGAAACUAAUGAUCAGCAAAUCAAACACACAAAAAAGAGCAACUAUAAGGGGAUAUAAAACAUAGCAAAAUACAGAAUGUUGAUUGAUUAACGAAGGCAGUUAAUAUAAACAUAGCAAAAUAAAAACCUGCUAACUAUUAAUCUUACAAUUUUGCUGCUAGUAUUAGGAGAUUAGGAGAUCAAGUCAUCUCAUUCACAUAAAAAGAUUUCAAACAUAAAAUAAACAAAUUCGUUCUUCAUCUAAAAACCUUACUGUCCUUCAUCUAGUUUAGGAUUGCAUCUUUCUCUCUUCAUCUAAAUUCCUCUAUUGUCAUCUUCUUCACCAUCUUCUUCACCAUCUUCUUGACAACCUUCUAUGAUCAAAGGGGCAUUGUAAUAAUCUAAAUGACACAAUUUAAGGAUUCAUGAAUCCAGCAAAUAACAGACCCAUAAAAUUAGUACAUUUCAAUAGACCAAAUGCUAAAAGUAGCUUUAUACUACUCUAAUCUUCUCCGGAUGUUAUCAAGGAAAGAGCAUGAGCAUGGGACAAAACAACUUUUUCUUUGAUGUCCUAAACAUAAGUUUCCUACAAAUAAAAUUAAAUCUACACUUCAUUAUAUCAGUAGAGAAAGAAAACCUCGCUCCCAAUCAACAAUAUAAAGAAAACCCAUCAAAGCGUAUAAAUAAAAAUCCCUACAACCCAUGAGUUUAAGAAAAGUACCAAGUAAAUUCUGAGUAGAAAACUAGAAUGAAAUCAAUACCAAUCUAGCCCUAAACAACAUCCGUGCAAAACCUGAAUGAAAGAGAUUUUUACUCAAUACUUGUUCUAUUUCCUUGUUUCUAAAUAUGUUCAGUCAAAACCUAGAAAUCACCAUGAUUUUUCUAGUAAUCAAAGGGAGAUUCUCAAAACAAAGUUAGAAAAAACAACAUUUUCCAUGGAAACAAAAGAAGAACGGCUAUAAUCAGUGUAUAAAUAAAAUAAAAUAUGCAUAUGCAAGUGACGUCAACACAAAAGUGAGUCGUUUAGAAAUGCCAUGAAAUUGCAAAAAGGGACUAAAACUAUACAUACAAGGACAACCAGUAAAUAAAACCACAAGGAUUAUCCUUAAAAGUCAUAAUACACAUCUUCCAAACAUAACAUGAACUUGUUAAAAAAAAAUGAAAUAAAUAAACAUUCAACUCUAAUUUUACCUGGAGCCCAUCUUCAUAAUAGAAUUCGAAGUAGGAGGCUCUGAAUCUUCAAUUUUUCUCCAACAACAAUUGAACACACAAAUGAUUUGUACAUAACAUAAACGCAAAUAAUAAUAUAACACAUCUACACUAUUUUGUUUUUCAAAUAAUCUAGGAAAUGCAUGCCUUACAACUUUUUUUGUUAUCCAAGCGUGGGAUUAUAGUAAGCUUUUGCAAUCUUUGAAGGCAUAUCAGAAUGCGUUGCGUGUCUAAAGUAAUAGUUGUGCCCUCAUUCAUUCUAAAUUUCCACAACUUGAUAACUCAACUGUUGAGUUUCAGGUUUAUUUUGAAGUUCUAAAAUUUAUUGAUCUUUAAUAAUAUUUUACAGGAAAAUGAUAAAAAUAAUAUUGUCAAAUCUAGACUUAUAUUUUAAUUGUGCAAACUGUAAGUUAAAUUUCUCUUCCCUUUUUUAGUUUGAUUUGGCUUCUAAUGUGAUUAUUUGCUUUCUACCAUAUUGGUUAUUGCUAUUCAUUCAAUGAAUGAAGUCAGUGUUAGCUUCACAAAAAAAACUUGGUCAUGAUAAGCUUUUCGGCUUGUGUGGUCAAUUGAAGAAUGAUGAUAAAGUAUAUUGUCAAUCAAUGUAGGAAGAGAUUGUGAGGUUUAAUAAGGCCAGUUACUUACAUAGUAGAAUGUGUUUGCAUGCAUAGAGUAUUUUGAGAUUAUGAGCCUAAUUCUUUCUAGUUGAGGUUAACCAAGCAGUGGAAAGAGUGACCUAAUUUUACCAUAACCAAAUGGAUAUUUAGGGCUUUUUAAUUCUUGAGAUGCAAAGUAGCAAUUAGGUUUUUAUUCAAAUCAUCUUAUUAAUCAAAUCAAGAGGAUAAACGUAAAUCAGUUUAUUCAAAACAAGUAGAAAACGAAAUCAAUUACCAGGUCCGAUGAGAUUGACAGAGGACGAAGCAGUGUGAAUAACCACGAGCUUGAAUGGGAAAGAAGGUAGUGUGAUCGAGCUUCGACUGUCGUGCGUGUGGCUAGAGUCAGCCCAUGGAGCAGAAGAAGGUAGCUCAUGAAAGGGAAUCUGUCACAAAAGUUGAGGAAGAACUAUCCCUUGACGAGGUGAAAGACCAACGAGUGGGGCCUCCAUCAAGAGUCUGAAGAAGAGAAGAAGUGAUCGGUGUGCGCGACAAAUGAUGUGGAGCAAUUUAGGAAGGAGAAGAAGGAGAAGAAGUCGGGGAAGGAGAAGAAAGGGUAUUGUGGGUAUGGACAGAGAAGAAAGUAACUAGAAAUUCAGGUUGUAAACAUAAUUCAUGCUCAUUUUUUCACUCACAGUUUUAAGCUAUAUCCGUUAAGCCUGGUGGAUUUGCUCUUUCCUCUUUUUUUUUUUACCUAUAAUUAGAGAAAUAAAUCCCUAAUUAAUCAACUUGAUCCAUAAAAUUUCUAAACUUUGCUAAAAAAAUUACAAAAACUCAAAAAAUAGUCCAUUUAACACCAAAGCAUGGAUCUGCGCAUGGCAUGGGUGGUAGAGGGAUGCACGGGCACACAAUGGCCUUGUAGAGGUGUUAGACCGCUUGCUAACCUCGCUUUCUCAGUUACACACCCACCAUGGCUACUCCAAGCUUGGUCGCAAGUCAUCCCUCACAGGCGUAAGCCUUGUCACGUGGCACUUGUCGAAGCAUGCCUUUGCACUAAGCUUGGCCAACGCUAGAAAGCAUGCUUUACUUACCCUUUGUGCACCCCUUCCACACAUAACCACCAGUGCUUCCUUUCAGCAAGAACGUGGCCAAGUUAACUCUUCUUUCUUGAGAACAACCCAUUACUCCAAAGCACUUCUCUAUGUCAACUGAAUCCCCAGUUGGUUCGAAAGUCAUGGCUCCUAGCAUCUAUAAUCUUUCACAUUAUAUGUACACCAUAUAAUCAAUGCUCACUUGAUAGAAAUAAGGCUAAUGGUUUGCACACAUUCAUCAUAAUCACACAUAGAAAUCAAUAGUUUUCUCUUUUCAAACAACCACAAUAAUAAUAACAUAAGGAGAUACAAAACUCAUUAUGCAUAAUUCAUAUUAAAAAUGAAUCUAUUAAGAAAACAUUUAGUUUACAAAUCAUCCACAUAGGAGUGUUUAGUUUAAGAAAGUCACUAACGCAUGAGUGUUUAGUUUUAGAAGGUCACUGUGAGACCUGACCUAAGAACGAUAAAAGAUUGACAAUGUUAAAAAGAAGACGUUUUGACUAGAACUAGCGAUAAGAGUUGGUAUUUGAGUAGUUUGCAAGGAAGGGUUACACGAUAGGACGUUCGGCAUUAUAGUACAAUUAGGCGAUUAAGAGUCUUUGCGAGUUGGAACUAGGCGUUGAAGAGUCACUUCUGAGAAAUUUUCUAAGUUUACUUAACGGGUCACGUGUAGAAGUUUAAGCUAAGCAUGUUUAAGUUAAACCUUAAAUUUACUCGUGUACCACUAAGAGUAAGAGCUAGCGAAUUAUUGAGAGUUUGAGCAUGACUAAUCCUUUUUAGGACUAGUAUAAAUAGGGGGAUGGAGUCUGAUGAUCAAGUGGUUACUCUAAAAGAUUGAAGAGAAGAGUUAAAGUAUUAAAGUGCUAUUGAAGUGACUACGCGACAAGAAGAAUAAGAAAAGCAUUUAGAGUCUAAGUUUCUAAGUUGCGUGAGUGUUUUUCUUUCAAAGAAUUUCAUAAGUAUGAAAGGUUUUUGUUAAAGUCUUACUGAUUGGAUAUGAUGAUAAGUGUUUUCAAAGAGGUUUAUAUGAAAAACUUAUGCUAUGUUUCAAAUAUGUUUUAUAUGAUUCAAAUGAUUGAGAAAUGGUUUUCAAACCACUAGUCUUUUUCCUAUCAAUGAGCUAACUAUUAUAUGCACAUAAACACUAAAGGUAGCCAUGUAUAAAAGACGUGCAUAGUGGAAUGAGGCGAGACAAUACAUAAACAAUGUGUAUUGCGCUUCGACCUGAGUAACAAAGAAUGAAUCAAAAUAUUAUCAUAUGUUGUUGAUGAGAAGGACAUCACAAUAGUCCAAACGUGGGAUGAUGAAUCUUUGAAUAGACGAUGAUUCAACUUCUUGGCGAAAGGAAUAUUUAUUGAAUAAUGUGUGUUUGUGUAAAAUGUAUGUUUAAGAGAUUUGGUGAAUAUUAUGAAACAGAGUUUUCUUACAACCUCACUAAAUCUUUUGACUUAUGUUUUUAAAUCUUACUUUCCAAGUUUCAAGCAUUAAGGCCAAAUAAGAAAAGAGAGGAGUUGUUAGGCGAGAAGAGACUGUAAGGCAUCUUGCUUUUGAAGUUUAAAUUUUUUUUUUAUAUAUUUUACUUUUAAGUGUUGUAAAGCUAAUUGUAAAACACUUGAUAUAAGUAAAAAAAAGUUUUAAGUUCUAUCACUUCUUAUGUGUCAAGUAUUUAUAACCCCUAAAGCAUAUUCUCCAAGUUAUGUUUAAAAAAAAAACAAGUGAUUAAGCAAGCUUAAGGACCUCAAGUUGGGUGCUUUAGGCAUUUAAUGUGUCAGAUAUACUCAAAGUGAGUAAGGACACGUUCGGGGCGGGGUGUGACGGUCACUCACGCAGGACUAUUUAGUUUAAGAAGGUCACUCAUGCAGAUGCCUAAUCCUCUUCUUCCCCGAAUGCCUUUCCUCACAUAGUUCUCUCUCAGUAGCAACUCAACUCCUUGCACUCUCUCGACAAAACCUCCAAAUAAUAACACUUCUCUUAAGGCCUUCACUCCUAUUUAUACUAAUCCUUUAAACUAGUUACUUUCUUUACCCGUCAGUUUCGAAUUACAACUUUACAUGUAUUGCCUUAUCGUCUUACCGCACCAUGCAACCAAGUCCAAGCUCGACACAUAAGCCAACUGUAAACUCAAGAUUAGACAUUCCCUCGAGACACAAACCUUCUCUACUCAGAAAGUUAAAAUCUUCUUCACCUUCUUCCUUUUUGGGAAACUAAACUCUUUUUCUCGCCUUCUUCUUCCAUGCCUUCUCUUUCUCGCGACAAACCACAACUGCUUACUUCUUUUCUAACUUCGCUUCAUGUUACUUCACCAGACCGCCUAACUCUUCUUGUCGAAGAACUCCUUCACAGCGAUAACUCUCCCUCCAUCACCUUCUCUCAACGUGACUUUCCUUUGAAUUUUAUCUUUAGAAUGAUCAAUCUUUUUAUUUUAGGAGGAAGAUCCCACUCCUCGAUGCCUCUCUUCUUCAACAGAACUCCCUUUUCGAAUUUGCGUCAUACAAGAUGUUACUUUCAACAUCUGAAAAAAUCAUAAUUGAAAAUCCACUUAUCAAAAUGAAACUUCCUUCUACAAAGUUGCUUAAGAUAUUUUUAACUAUCUUACCUAAAAAUAUAUCUUACCUAAAAAUAUCAGCUUAAAAUUCCAAGUAUUGGAUUCCUUAAUCUCAAAUCUUUGAAGAUAGCUUUAGAAUUAAUUCCUUUAAAACUGAAUUUUCAUGAUUUCCUUCAGCAAUUGAGUUCCUUCCCAAAGUUUUUCCUCUUUGGAAGCUUUUACCGAAAAACUACAUUCAUUUAUGGUUCUUUCAAGAUUAAUUUCGCUGAUUUUUCACUUGCCAAAAGGAAGCACUUGAAGUAUAAAGUUAGGCUUAAAGACAAACUUUUGCACGUUCUUAAACUAACUGCUUCUACUUAACAAAAAUCAAUUUCAUGCAUGCCUAGUCAUAUGCAAUUCCACUUAAUAGACCUUUCUUCAACACCUUAUAGCUUAGCAACAUAUCAUUGGAUAAAUGACCCUCGACUUAGCUCACAUGACCCUCACUUAAUAAAGUAAUGUCGAAAACCUUUUUAUUUAACUACCUUGCUACCUUGCUACUUUGCAUCCCUUCAACACAUAGAUUGACCCUUUAAUGUCGUAUGGAGGUUCUUUUAGGUGCCUUAAAUGCAUAGACAAUCCUUUAGCCGCAUAGGUUUUCAUUUUGACACAUAGAGGUUCUUGAAAAACCACAUAGCUUACAUAAUUCACACAUGCCGCCUAGGGCACCAUGUUGUCACACCAUCAUCAUUCUUUUUGGCCCCUUGAGGGGUUCUCAUGACAUAUUCAUGGUCGUAUAGCAACAACUUGUGUCACACCUAGUUCUAGGUUUUCCCCUCUAACUUAGAUCGUGGUGUGAGUCUACUCUUUAAAAACAUUCAUUUUCCAAUGUAAGAUUAGUAAAACACAUUUCAAGAGAUUCUAUACAAAUUUUGGCAGUCUCCCCUAAAAAAUGAACUAACCACACCUGGAAAAUGAAGAAAAUCACACUUUUAUGCUUUUCAACCUCAAACGUCAUCGAGUGUGUCUCACCACUCACUCAUCCAAAAUAAUCUAGAGUCCUAAACAAAGUUUAAAUACAAACUUAAGGAUAGUUACAAGGAUUACAUCUAACAACAAUUUCCUCAAACGUGGGUUCCUUAACACAACUGUCACUGUUCCUAACUAACCUCAUGAUGAAAUUAAAACAUAAAUAUGUAGACAUACAAGGCAAAAACAAAUCAACAAUCAAUGGCGAGAUGCUCAAUGAAAGUUUGGAUCUUGACCGCUACCUUGGGGGGACAUUGAAAACAUUAGCUAAAACUCAAUGAGUGGCAAGUUCAUAGAAGGAAAAACUCGUAAAACAUGCUAAAAAAUAUGUGUAAAUAUUAGUUAAAAUGUUAUCAUCAUAUAACCACAAAUCAAACUAAAAAAUAUGUACUCAAUCCAACCAUGGCAAGUAACCUAAAUAUAUGGCCAAGAAUAACUUGCACAUGACAAAGGAUGCUGGAAUUUAUGUCAUAAAACUCGUAGUUUGUAAUCAUAUUUUAUCCAAUAAAGUCGUUAUUGAUAGUAUAAUCUUAAAGCCAAUAAACUAAGGACUUGUGGCUAUUAUUGAGUAAACUUGAACUUUAUAUGCAUAAACGUGGAUCAAGUUUGAAUAUAUAGCCUAAAUAGUCUACAGUAUAUGAAAACGAUUGGGUACCUUAUUUUGGAAACAAUAUGGAUGCAGUCCACUUUGUAGUUGUACAAACGAUGUGAUCCUAAAUCAUUCAUGUAAAGACAUGAAAGCGGGGGCUUCCUAUGUAAAGAGUUUACAUAAGACUAAAACCAUGAAAUAGUCACUUUUCAGUUAUAACACCGUUAACUUUGUAAACUGACUAUUUCAUAUAUAGAUAUCCUUUAUAACUUAAUCUUAAUUCUAAGCUAACUAUGGACUCCUGUUCACACGAGAUUAUCCUUAGAUCUGCAUAAGUGAGGACAGCUCAUUAGCGUUGGCCCAAUAAGUUGGGGACAUAAGGCACAAGACAAAAUUCACUCCUACCCACUUUAGGGUUAGUUGAUAGAUUAUUCCCUUAAUAACUGAAUCUAAGUCUUGAACAAGGGGUCCCACUCUCUCAUUUUUCUGAGAGGGAUUCGGUUUAGAGGUUGAACCUUAAACCAAUUAUUUAAUAGUGGAUCAGUGGGACUUAAGAAGCAAGAUAUAGACUCGGGGGUAAAAUGGUACUUUGACCAAGCCGAGGUUAUGAACAACCUGUGAAGGAUUAACUUACUUAUCAUGGUUCUAUCACAUGGACACAAAUAUAUCAAUAGUGAGGGGAGUGCAACUACCAAACUUUAGUGGAAUGACCCACUAGUUAACGAAUGUUGAUUAACUUGGUCUAAAAGAGUUUAGCCAGUUAAUUUCGGAUCUUUGGAUCCCAUGAUCUAUAGGUCCAUUAGAUUCCCCAACUCGCCCAAAAGGAAUCAACUUAGAAUAUUAGAAGGAAUAAUUCAUCCCCCACUCGCUCAAAAGGAAUCAACUUAGAAUAUUAAAAGGAAUAAUUCAAAUUGUUCGAAUUAGGUAAAUAGAGAGAAACCAAUGAAUAUAUGUAGACGUCAGUCAUAAGUUAAAGAUAGAAUUUUAUGUUUAAAUAUGAUUUAAAUAUUAAAAAUAUGAAUUAUACAAAUUCAUAUUACGAAUCUCGAAAUUGAUGAAAGUGGUCAAAGAUGUGAAAGGUCAAAAUGUUGACUUUUAACUUUCAGAAGUCAAACUUUAAUCGGUUUAUAUUCAAAUAUGAUUUGAGUUUUAGAAAAAUAAAUGUGGAUUCAUGCUUAGAAGGUUGAAAUUAGUUAAGACGGACAAGAUGGUAAAAAGUAAAAAUGUUGACUUUUGACUAAAAAAUCAAACUUUGAAUUUGAUUUAAAUGUCAAAUUACCAUAUUGCCUUUAGACUAACUUGUUGAGAUUUGACAAGCUCAUCACAUGCAAGUGUUACAUGUGAUUUGAAAGUGGCUUCAAGUAUGUGAGACACCUACCCCACUAAUAGUUAGUCGAAUGUCAAGUAUUGAGAUAGGGAAGCUCAUGCAAUCUUGCACAUAGUUUACUUGUAAAGAGGUUUAUUGCAAAUGUGAAAGGUCUCUAGUUUUAAAAAGGGUUAAGAUUUUAUUUUGUAAUUAGGAAUUACAAAAUAAAAAUAAAAAAAAAAACUAAUUUUACUCUCAACAAAAAUAAAAAAAGGUAGGUUCCUUCUAAAAGUUCUAUCUCUUUUUAUUUCCUCCACCAUUAGAGUCUCACAACUCGAUUCUAAGUCCAAAGAAUUGCAGGUCAACACUAGAG